RNAcentral lists this ribosomal RNA (585 nucleotides) under uncultured bacterium. RNAcentral's name for it is "partial 16S ribosomal RNA". It matches the Rfam family "Bacterial small subunit ribosomal RNA", at positions 355 to 1375 of the family's 1533-position model. The record is from RNAcentral.
UGGGGAAUUUUGGACAAUGGGCGCAAGCCUGAUCCAGCCAUGCCGCGUGCGGGAAGAAGGCCUUCGGGUUGUAAACCGCUUUUGUCAGGGAAGAAAUCUUCUGAGUUAAUACCUCGGGAGGAUGACGGUACCUGAAGAAUAAGCACCGGCUAACUACGUGCCAGCAGCCGCGGUAAUACGUAGGGUGCAAGCGUUAAUCGGAAUUACUGGGCGUAAAGCGUGCACAGGCGGUUUUGUAAGACAGAGGUGAAAUCCCCGGGCUCAACCUGGGAACUGCCUUUGUGACUGCAAGGCUUGAGUGCGGCAGAGGGGGAUGGAAUUCCGCGUGUAGCAGUGAAAUGCGUAGAUAUGCGGAGGAACACCGAUGGCGAAGGCAAUCCCCUGGGCCUGCACUGACGCUCAUGCACGAAAGCGUGGGGAGCAAACAGGAUUAGAUACCCUGGUAGUCCACGCCCUAAACGAUGUCAACUGGUUGUUGGGAAGGUUCCUUCUCAGUAACGUAGCUAACGCGUGAAGCUGACCGCCUGGGGAGUACGGCCGCAAGGUUGAAACUUAAAUGAAUUGACGGGGUCAUAGCUGUUUCCU